RNAcentral lists this long non-coding RNA (1235 nucleotides) under Lepisosteus oculatus (spotted gar). RNAcentral's name for it is "lncRNA (ENSLOCG00000022486.1)". The record is from RNAcentral. Lineage: Eukaryota; Metazoa; Chordata; Actinopteri; Semionotiformes; Lepisosteidae.
CUUUUGUCCAACUGAGCAAUCUUGCUUUUAUAAAAUAUACCAACUUCUAAUGUUUAGUGAUUACCAUGCUGUAAUACACAGUUUAAAAUUAUUAAAAGUCUAAAGAGUAUACAACUUAAAUUCUUAAUUGGAAAAAGAUUGUCCCUCAGCAGUGACCAGGAUUCGAAACCGGGCGUAUUCCUGGCGAUAGCUCAAAUGUUGUACAUGAGACAUUAAGCUUUAUUAGCUCCACCUGGUGGUUUUACAAGGUAACUCCACCAGGUGGUUAUCAUAACAUGCUGUAUGAUGCGUUGUGAUGCGCCAUGCCUACUGUGUUUUGAUGCAGCGUACUUUGCGCAUUUUGAAUGGCUGGCUCUGUAUAGACUGUGCGUGCCCCACUUCAGCUUCAUAAUGGCGGUCUGUCAGAAAUAAAAUGUGAGUUAUUUUGCUCAGUUGUCUUUCUCAGGCCAGUAUCAGCUUCAAACCCUUCAUGCCCAUCAAUACUGCAUCUUUGACUCUUUCUUACACAGACCCGUGUGAGCUCCAAAACCUUCCUUACCAUCAGUACACCACAGUCUGUGUCAAUUCAAUUCAAGAAACUUUAUUGGCAUGAGCGGUGAAUAAAUCAGUGUUGCCAAAGUAUAUACAAUUAACAUAAGAUCUACAGACAUUUACAAUUCAGACACAACAUAAUAGCUUUACAUACAAAUAUGAAGUAUUUUUGAGAGAAGGGCUCACUGUUCCUCUGGCUGUGACAGGAGAUCACAUACUGGGCUGCCAGUUCAACCGAGCUCCAUCCCCAUUCUCCCAGUAGUAUCAGGAGUUGUUGUGAUUCUGGCAGGUGUGGGAGUUCUGGAACUAGAUGUGUAAAUUUUCGGAAGAAUGUUUGUCAGUCCAAGAAAAUUUGUCACAACACAGUAAGGAAGUGCAUCUCUGACUCUAUUGUUCCCCGCUGGAAGUGGGAGCACAGCCUGUCCUCUCUGGGCAGCCAGGUCUGUCUGUGUCGCACAGCACUAUCUCUGUGUUUCUUUCCCAGUCCAGUGUCAGCUUCAUGUCGAUCAGUAUUGCCUCCGAGUCUCUCUCCCAGCCUAAACUCCAGCUGUGCUCCCAUCAGUACUACCUGUGUGUGUUCUUGUCUCACUCCCAGCCAAACCAACAGAAUCAACCUAAACUCAUAGAAAAGCAAGAAUGCCCCCAAGACACCUGCACCCCCCUCCUGGACCACUCUGGUAUCAACACCCCCAAACCCAUCCAUA